AGACCCUAUGGAGCUUUAAACUUAUUACCACUUAUUUAACCAUGUAACAGCUUAGAUAAUAAUAAUGCUCUCUAAUAGUUUUCGGUUGGGGCAACCCUGGGGGAAAAUAAAUCCCCCAGAUUGAAAAAAAUAAUCCUUAUAUAAGAACUACAGUUCAAAUAAACAAAAUUUUGACAAAACUGACCCAGUUAGCUGAUCAGUGAACCAAGUUACCCUAGGGAUAACAGCGCUAUCCAUUUUGAGAGUCCAUAUUGACAAAUGGGUUUACGACCUCNAUGUUGGAUCAGGGUAUCCUAGCAGUGCAGCCAUUGCUAAUGGUUCGUUUGUUCAACGACUAACACCCUACGUGAUCUGAGUUCAAACCNGA
RNAcentral lists this ribosomal RNA (367 nucleotides) under Hyperolius mitchelli (Mitchell's reed frog). RNAcentral describes it as "partial 16S ribosomal RNA". It matches the Rfam family "Bacterial large subunit ribosomal RNA", at positions 2086 to 2620 of the family's 2925-position model. The record is from RNAcentral. Lineage: Eukaryota; Metazoa; Chordata; Amphibia; Anura; Hyperoliidae.